GACGAACGCUGGCGGCGUGCUUAACACAUGCAAGUCGAACGGAAAGGCCCUGCUUUUGUGGGGUGCUCGAGUGGCGAACGGGUGAGUAACACGUGAGUAACCUGCCCUUGACUUUGGGAUAACUUCAGGAAACUGGGGCUAAUACCGGAUAGGAGCUCCUGCUGCAUGGUGGGGGUUGGAAAGUUUCGGCGGUUGGGGAUGGUCUCGCGGCUUAUCAGCUUGUUGGUGGGGUAGUGGCUUACCAAGGCUUUGACGGGUAGCCGGCCUGAGAGGGUGACCGGCCACAUUGGGCCUGGGGUACGGCCCAGACUCCUACGGGAGGCAGCGGGGGGGAAUAUUGCACAAUGGGCGGAAGCCUGAUGCAGCAACGCCGCGUGCGGGAUGACGGCCUUCGGGUUGUAAACCGCUUUCGCCUGUGACGAAGCGUGAGUGACGGUAAUGGGUAAAGAAGCACCGGCUAACUACGUG
RNAcentral lists this ribosomal RNA (468 nucleotides) under uncultured bacterium. RNAcentral's name for it is "partial 16S ribosomal RNA". It matches the Rfam family "Bacterial small subunit ribosomal RNA", at positions 28 to 507 of the family's 1533-position model. The record is from RNAcentral.